CCUACGGUGUGCAGCAGUGGGGAAUAUUGCACAAUGGGGGGAACCCUGAUGCAGCGACGCCGCGUGGGUGAAGGAGUGCUUCGGCAUGUAAAGCCCUAUCGGCAGGGAAGAAGCAAGACGGUACCUGACUAAUAAGCCCCGGCUAACUACGUGCCAGCAGCAGCGGUAAUACGUAGGGGGCUAGCGUUAUCCGGAUUCACUGGGGGUAAAGGGAGCGUAGACGGCCAUGCAAGCCAGGUGUGAAAGGCUGGGGCUCAACCCCCGGACUGCACUUGAACCUGUACGGCUGGAGUGCAGGAGAGGGAAGUGGAAUUCCUAGUGUAGCGGUGAAAUGCGUAGAGAUGAGGAGGAACACCAGUGGCGAAGGCGGCUUACUGGACUGUAACUGACGUUGAGGCUCGAAAGCGUGGGGAGCAAACAGGAUUAGAUACCCCUGUAGUC
This 441-nucleotide ribosomal RNA is filed under the name uncultured bacterium. RNAcentral describes it as "partial 16S ribosomal RNA". It matches the Rfam family "Bacterial small subunit ribosomal RNA", at positions 338 to 795 of the family's 1533-position model. The record is from RNAcentral.